This 73-nucleotide transfer RNA is filed under the name Canis lupus familiaris (dog). It matches the Rfam family "tRNA". Rfam says of the family: Transfer RNA (tRNA) molecules are approximately 80 nucleotides in length. Their secondary structure includes four short double-helical elements and three loops (D, anti-codon, and T loops). RNAcentral also lists the same sequence under 2 other names. Lineage: Eukaryota; Metazoa; Chordata; Mammalia; Carnivora; Canidae. The record is from Rfam by way of RNAcentral.
GCCUGGCUGGCACAGUUGGUAGAGCAUAAGAUUCUUGAUCAUAGGGUUGUGAGUUCAAGCCCCACAUUGGGCA